This 1245-nucleotide ribosomal RNA is filed under the name human metagenome. RNAcentral's name for it is "bacterial LSU rRNA". It matches the Rfam family "Bacterial large subunit ribosomal RNA", at positions 833 to 2108 of the family's 2925-position model. The record is from RNAcentral.
UCGAACCCGGAGAUAGCUGGUUCUCCUCGAAAUAGCUUUAGGGCUAGCCUCGGUGUGAGUCUUGCGGAGGUAGAGCACUGAAUUUCCUAGGGGGCGUCAAAGCCUACCGAAGAAUAUCAAACUCCGAAUGCCGUGUAGAUAUCACCGGGAGUCAGACUGCACGAGAUAAGUUGGGCGGUCAAAAGGGAAAGAGCCCAGACCUUCAGUUAAGGUCCCCAAGUGCGCGUUAAGUGGAAAAGGAUGUGGGAUUUCGAAGACAACCAGGAUGUUGGCUCAGAAGCAGCCAUCCAUUCAAAGAGUGCGUAAUAGCUCACUGGUCGAGAGGUCCUGCGCCGAAAAUGUCCGGGGCUGAAACGCGCCACCGAAACUAAGGAACCGAAAGGUUGGUAGAGGAGCAUUGCAUGCGGGAAGAAGCAGUACCGUAAGGAGCUGUGGACUGCAUGGAAGAGAGAAUGCCGGAAUGAGUAGCGAGAUAGAGGUGGGAAUCCUCUAGGCCGAAUAUCCAAGGUUUCCAGGGUAAAGCUGAUCUGCCCUGGGUAAGUCGGGGCCUAAGGCGAGGACGAGAGUCGUAGCCGAUGGACAACAGGUGGAGAUUCCUGUACUGCGGUAUGACAGAACUGUGGGGACACGUAAGGAAAGCGGAAGCCGGGAAUGGAAAGCCCGGUGCAAGCGGGGUACCAGUCACUUUGGCAAAUCCGGGUGGCAAUGGGAAGCCGUGAUGCGGAGCGAAAUAAAGUAGCGAAGUCCGUGAGCCAUGCGUCAAGAAAAGCCGCUAUUGUUUAUACCGUACCCGUACCGUAAACCGACACAGGUGGAUGAGGAGAGAAUCCUAAGGCCGGCGGAAGAAGCAUUGUUAAGGAACUCGGCAAAAUGACCCCGUAACUUCGGGAGAAGGGGUGCCUGCGAGAGCAGGCCGCAGAGAAUAGGCUCAAGCAACUGUUUAGCAAAAACACAGGUCUAUGCGAAACCGAAAGGUGAGGUAUAUGGGCUGACGCCUGCCCGGUGCUGGAAGGUUAAGAGGAGAGGUUAGCGCAAGCGAAGCUUUGAAUUUAAGCCCCAGUAAACGGCGGCCGUAACUAUAACGGUCCUAAGGUAGCGAAAUUCCUUGUCGGGUAAGUUCCGACCCGCACGAAAGGCGUAAUGAUUUGAGCGCUGUCUCGACAAUGCAUCCGGUGAAAUUGAAGUACCAGUGAAGAUGCUGGUUACCUGCGCCAGGACGGAAAGACCCCAUGGAGCUUUACUCCA